GUUUUUUUCAUAUAGAGGGCUUACAUCAUCACCUACACCCCCCUUUUCAGGUACACCUUGCCUUUACCCUUAUCCUCACCUCCACUGAGAUUUUUAACCCAGGAGAGGUCAUCCUUCGGAUGUUGCUUUUGCAGCUCAACCACAAUGUUGUUCUGGGCCUUAACAUAAAUCUCAGCCAUUUGGUUGUCAGAAGAGGUGAGUUCAGCCUCCAACUCCUCCACCUUCUUCUUCAAUUUAGCUUGCUUGGCCGAAUGUUUCUCCUUGGCAUCCAUAAGCUCGCCCUCAAGGGAGGAAGACCUCUUCUUUAGCAAUAGAAGCUUAGUCUCCAAAUCGCUAAUAUUUUUCUUAGAGGUGAAAUAGUCUCGAUCAGCAGGGUGAUCUCCAUCUCUUAGGUGCCGAUGAGUCCCUGCAAGGACCUCACCUUCUCCUUUAGGAGCUGAGUGUUGGUGAUCUACUCCAUUUGAAGGCUUAUUGCCUGGAGUGCCAAAUCUUUAUCAUGCUCACCCUCCAAUCGAGCUUAAUCCAAGGGGAGGGUGUUUCUCUUACCAAGCUAGUUGGUAAGCUUGUAAUUGUAUAUGACAGAAUGACCAUCCAGCAGUUGCUUGACUGUCUGAGGUGGCUAUUGGGAAGGAGUGGUUGUUUGUGUGUGUCUCUCUCUCUCUUUUUCUCUUAACCCCAAGGUAGCCAUAAAAGUCACCACUUAUCUCUCGCCAAAGAUUAGCAAGGUCAAAGGGGUAGAAAUCCUAGCCCUCUUCGGUGUCGGAGUAUCAAUGUCUUCAAUUGCUAGAGUUUGCUCAUCCUUCUUAUUCUUCUU
This 814-nucleotide unclassified non-coding RNA is filed under the name Hevea brasiliensis (rubber tree). Lineage: Eukaryota; Viridiplantae; Streptophyta; Magnoliopsida; Malpighiales; Euphorbiaceae. The record is from RNAcentral.